GAUGAACGCUAGCGAUAGGCUUAACACAUGCAAGUCGAGGGGCAGCAUGGUCUUAGCUUGCUAAGACUGAUGGCGACCGGCGCACGGGUGCGUAACGCGUAUGCAACUUGCCUCACAGAGGGGGAUAACCCGUCGAAAGACGGACUAAUACCGCGUACACUCUAUGUUGGGCAUCCAAUGUAGAGGAAAUGAAAUUCGCUGUGAGAUAGGCAUGCGUCCCAUUAGCUAGUUGGUGAGGUAACGGCCCACCAAGGCGACGAUGGGUAGGGGAACUGAGAGGUUGAACCCCCAGACUGGAACUGAGACACGGACCAGACUCGUACGGGGGGGAGCAGUGAGGAAUAUUAGUCAAGGGGCGAGGGCCUGAACCAGCCAAGUCGCGUGAAGGAUGACUGUCUUAUGGAUUGUAAACUUCUUUUAAACGGGAAUAACAAGAGCCACGUGUGGCUCCCUGCAUGUACCGUAUGAAUAAGCAUCGGCUAACUCCGUG
RNAcentral lists this ribosomal RNA (490 nucleotides) under uncultured bacterium. RNAcentral's name for it is "partial 16S ribosomal RNA". It matches the Rfam family "Bacterial small subunit ribosomal RNA", at positions 28 to 507 of the family's 1533-position model. The record is from RNAcentral.